RNAcentral lists this ribosomal RNA (253 nucleotides) under uncultured bacterium. RNAcentral describes it as "partial 16S ribosomal RNA". It matches the Rfam family "Bacterial small subunit ribosomal RNA", at positions 524 to 776 of the family's 1533-position model. The record is from RNAcentral.
UACGGGGGGGGCAAGCGUUGUUCGGAAUUACUGGGCGUAAAGGGCUCGUAGGUGGCCAACUAAGUCAGACGUGAAAUCCCUCGGCUUAACCGGGGAACUGCGUCUGAUACUGGUUGGCUUGAAUCCGGGAGAGGGAUGUGGAAUUCCAGGUGUAGCGGUGAAAUGCGUAGAUAUCUGGAGGAACACCGGUGGCGAAGGCGACAUCCUGGACCGGUAUUGACGCUGAGGCGCGAAAGCCAGGGGAGCAAACGGG